This 265-nucleotide ribosomal RNA is filed under the name uncultured prokaryote. RNAcentral's name for it is "partial 16S ribosomal RNA". It matches the Rfam family "Bacterial small subunit ribosomal RNA", at positions 524 to 788 of the family's 1533-position model. The record is from RNAcentral.
UACGUAGGUGGCGAGCGUUAUCCGGAAUUAUUGGGCGUAAAGAGCGCGCAGGUGGUUGGUUAAGUCUGAUGUGAAAGCCCACGGCUUAACCGUGGAGGGUCAUUGGAAACUGGUCGACUUGAGUGCAGAAGAGGGAAGUGGAAUUCCAUGUGUAGCGGUGAAAUGCGUAGAGAUAUGGAGGAACACCAGUGGCGAAGGCGGCUUCCUGGUCUGUAACUGACACUGAGGCGCGAAAGCGUGGGGAGCAAACAGGAUUAGAUACCCU